GGUAGUACUUGGCCAAACCCAUAACAGUGCUGCUUGGUUCCCAAUGUGGAUGAUGAAGAAGAAGGAGAAGAACAAGAUGAUGAUGAUGAUGAAGAAGAGGAAGGAUUAUAAGAUAUUGAUGAAGAAGGGGAUGAGGAUGAAGGCGAAGAAGAGGAAGAUGAUGAUGACGUUGAGGAAGGAGAGGAGGAUGAAGGAGAAGAUGACUAACAGAACACUGAUGUUCUGAACAAUUUUUUUUUUAAUUUUCUCCAGUCCCUGGGAGCAAGUUGCAGUCUUUUUUCUUUUUUCCCCUCUUGUGCUCAGUCGCGCUGUUCUUGAGGUCUCUUUUCUCUACACCAUGGUUUUCAACUUAUUUGGGGGGAAAUGCCUUGAGCAUAAUACAAUGGGAAAAUAUUCUCUACCCCUUUCUCUUCAGAAUUCAUUCUUAUCUCUUCCUGUCUGAACAAAAACUGUAUGGAAUCAACACCACCAAGUUCUGUGGGAGAAAAGAAAAACCUUCUCCCUUUGCUCUGCUGGAAGCUGGAGAGUGCCAGACCCCUGUGUAGCAGUGCAUAGAAUUCUAGCUUCUUUUCUCCUUUCUCUGUAUAUUGGGUUCAGAGAGUACCGUGUGUCUCUGUGUGAAUAUGGACCAUCAUUUAUCAACAUGUAUCUGUCUACUUUCUCUUGUUUAAAAAAAGAAAAAAAAACCUGUAAAAAAUGAGGUUAUAGAAAGUCAUCAAAGGCUUCUGCUUAAGCAUGCAGGUGAGAAGGGAAGAUACAUGUAAUCUGCAUGUCUGCCACCAUUCCUUGUUACCCUUUUUCAUAUCCCAUGAGCACAGCACUCCAGCGGACCUACCCAAAAUAUGUGGGAGUUCAGUGAAACUCAAACAGCAUGCUUCUGGUCAGCCUAUACAGUCUCUGUCCUGGUGAGGAGCAUG
RNAcentral lists this long non-coding RNA (917 nucleotides) under Homo sapiens (human). RNAcentral describes it as "non-protein coding lnc-SLAMF7-10:2". The record is from RNAcentral. Lineage: Eukaryota; Metazoa; Chordata; Mammalia; Primates; Hominidae.